UACGUAGGGACCAAGCGUUGUUCGGAUUUACUGGGCGUAAAGGGCGCGUAGUCGGCGUGGUAAGUCACUUGUGAAAUCUCUGAGCUUAACUCAGAACGGCCAAGUGAUACUGCUGUGCUAGAGUGCAGAAGGGGCAAUCGGAAUUCCUGGUGUAGCGGUGAAAUGCGUAGAUAUCAAGAGGAACACCUGAGGUGAAGACGGGUUGCUGGGCUGACACUGACGCUGAUGCGCGAAAGCCUGGGGAGCAAACGGG
Molecule: ribosomal RNA, 253 nt
Filed under: uncultured bacterium
Lineage: Bacteria
Description: partial 16S ribosomal RNA
Rfam family: Bacterial small subunit ribosomal RNA
Source: RNAcentral